UACAGAGGGGGCAAGCGUUGUUCGGAAUUACUGGGCGUAAAGGGCGCGUAGGCGGCCCGCUAAGUCGAACGUGAAAUCCCCGGGCUCAACCCGGGAACUGCGUCCGAUACUGGCAGGCUUGAAUCCGGGAGAGGGAUGCGGAAUUCCAGGUGUAGCGGUGAAAUGCGCAGAUAUCAGGAGGAACACCGGUGGCGAAGGCGGGUCUCUGGGCCGUAACUGACGCUGAGGAGCGAAAGCGUGGGGAGCGAACAGG
This 253-nucleotide ribosomal RNA is filed under the name uncultured bacterium. RNAcentral describes it as "partial 16S ribosomal RNA". It matches the Rfam family "Bacterial small subunit ribosomal RNA", at positions 524 to 776 of the family's 1533-position model. The record is from RNAcentral.